RNAcentral lists this ribosomal RNA (253 nucleotides) under uncultured microorganism. Its description in RNAcentral is "partial small subunit ribosomal RNA". It matches the Rfam family "Bacterial small subunit ribosomal RNA", at positions 524 to 776 of the family's 1533-position model. The record is from RNAcentral.
UACGUAGGUGGCAAGCGUUGUCCGGAUUUAUUGGGCGUAAAGCGAGUGCAGGCGGUCUUUUAAGUCUGAUGUGAAAGCCUUCGGCUUAACCGAAGAAGGGCAUCGGAAACUGGGAGACUUGAGUGCAGAAGAGGAGAGUGGAACUCCAUGUGUAGCGGUGAAAUGCGUAGAUAUAUGGAAGAACACCAGUGGCGAAGGCGGCUCUCUGGUCUGUAACUGACGCUGAGGCUCGAAAGCGUGGGUAGCAAACAGG